RNAcentral lists this unclassified non-coding RNA (241 nucleotides) under Hevea brasiliensis (rubber tree). Lineage: Eukaryota; Viridiplantae; Streptophyta; Magnoliopsida; Malpighiales; Euphorbiaceae. The record is from RNAcentral.
GGUGCUCGAGAGCAGGACAACACUCGAAAAGCUUUGCAAAAUCAAGUUCCUCUGCUUGAAUAUAGUCACCAUACAGCAAUAAUUUUACCAGACGAGGGACAUUCUUAAGGCAGACACAACUUAUAUUGCCUGUGAGAUCAAACGAUUUCAACAUGGGGGCAUUAAUUUCAAUUGCGUCUAACCUGUCUCCAAUAUCCAGACCCAACUCCUCAAGCAACGGGCAAUGAAAUAUUAAACUUUC